UCGGGAAUAUUGCACAAUGGAGGAAACUCUGAUGCAGUGACGCCGCGUGCAGGAAGAAGGUUUUCGGAUUGUAAACUGCUUUAGAUAGGGAAGAUAAAAGACUGUACCUAUAGAAUAAGCUCCGGCUAACUACGUGCC
RNAcentral lists this ribosomal RNA (138 nucleotides) under uncultured bacterium. RNAcentral describes it as "partial 16S ribosomal RNA". It matches the Rfam family "Bacterial small subunit ribosomal RNA", at positions 355 to 509 of the family's 1533-position model. The record is from RNAcentral.